Molecule: non-coding RNA, 45 nt
Filed under: Schistosoma mansoni
Lineage: Eukaryota; Metazoa; Platyhelminthes; Trematoda; Strigeidida; Schistosomatidae
Source: RNAcentral
AUCCAGCUGAUGAGUCCCAAAUAGAACGAAACACGCGUCCUGGAU